UACAGAGGUCUCAAGCGUUGUUCGGAAUCACUGGGCGUAAAGGGUGCGUAGGCGGGUCUUUAAGUCAGGGGUGAAAUCCUGGAGCUCAACUCCAGAACUGCCUUUGAUACUGGCGAUCUCGAGUCCGGGAGAGGUGAGUGGAACUGCGAGUGUAGAGGUGAAAUUCGUAGAUAUUCGCAAGAACACCAGUGGCGAAGGCGGCUCACUGGCCCGGUACUGACGCUGAGGUGCGAAAGCGUGGGGAGCAAACAGG
Molecule: ribosomal RNA, 253 nt
Filed under: uncultured bacterium
Lineage: Bacteria
Description: partial 16S ribosomal RNA
Rfam family: Bacterial small subunit ribosomal RNA
Source: RNAcentral